GAAUGUGAGGGUGAUCUUACUGUGACAUCUGUCAUUCCACUGAUCUCCAGGGUUGAUUUGGCUGAUCUGGCUGGCUAGGCAGGUGUUAACUUCCUCCCUCACCGCUCCAUGUGCAUCCCUCCAAAAGCUGCAUGCUCCAUUGAGGAAGACUACCUUUCUAAUAGAGGAGGACCGCUCUUCCCUCAAGGGUCUAACAGUAACUGCACUCCCCUGCUGGUGCCUCCAGACAAGCUCUCAAGGUCCAUUUGUAGGGUGUUCAAUCUUCCAAGACUCCAGACAUAUCCAAAUGAGGUGCUGCUUGUGGUAGUCUGCUUUUCUUU
RNAcentral lists this small nuclear RNA (320 nucleotides) under Equus caballus (horse). RNAcentral describes it as "7SK RNA". It matches the Rfam family "7SK RNA". Rfam says of the family: 7SK was discovered as an abundant small nuclear RNA in the mid-70s but a possible function has only recently been suggested. Lineage: Eukaryota; Metazoa; Chordata; Mammalia; Perissodactyla; Equidae. The record is from Rfam by way of RNAcentral.